CCUACGGGAGGCAGCAGUGGGGAAUUUUGGACAAUGGGCGAAAGCCUGAUCCAGCAAUGCCGCGUGAGUGAAGAAGGCCUUCGGGUUGUAAAGCUCUUUUGUCAGGGAAGAAACGGUGCGGGCUAAUAUCCUGCACUAAUGACGGUACCUGAAGAAUAAGCACCGGCUAACUACGUGCCAGCAGCCGCGGUAAUACGUAGGGUGCAAGCGUUAAUCGGAAUUACUGGGCGUAAAGCGUGCGCAGGCGGUUUUGUAAGUCUGUCGUGAAAUCCCCGGGCUCAACCUGGGAAUUGCGAUGGAGACUGCAAGGCUAGAAUCUGGCAGAGGGGGGUAGAAUUCCACGUGUAGCAGUGAAAUGCGUAGAGAUGUGGAGGAACACCGAUGGCGAAGGCAGCCCCCUGGGUCAAGAUUGACGCUCAUGCACGAAAGCGUGGGGAGCAAACAGGAUUAGAUACCCUGGUAGUCCACGCCCUAAACGAUGUCUACUAGUUGUCGGGUUUUAAUUAACUUGGUAACGCAGCUAACGCGUGAAGUAGACCGCCUGGGGAUACGGUCGCAAGNUUAAAACUCAAAGGAAUUGACGG
RNAcentral lists this ribosomal RNA (584 nucleotides) under uncultured bacterium. Its description in RNAcentral is "bacterial SSU rRNA". It matches the Rfam family "Bacterial small subunit ribosomal RNA", at positions 338 to 916 of the family's 1533-position model. The record is from RNAcentral.